Molecule: long non-coding RNA, 744 nt
Organism: Anolis carolinensis (green anole)
Lineage: Eukaryota; Metazoa; Chordata; Lepidosauria; Squamata; Anolidae
Source: Ensembl
AUAGCUGUGGGCGAAAAGUCUGGAGAGAAUGCUUCCGGAACAUGGCCACUCGCAGCAAGCCAAUCGGAAUAAUGCUCCAGGAUGACCAUCGGGGAGCCCUCCGCACCCGCUGAGUUCACAAUAGCUGGCUGGCGACGGCGACAACCGGGCCCGCUCCUCUUUUCCAGGGAAGGGAAGGAUGGGGAGGGGAAGGCGGGCUCACAGGGAGCCCCAAAGGCCCAGAGAGGGAGCCCCGAAGGAAGCGGAGGAGAGGCGGAAUGGGAGCCCUCCUCGGGGCUGAAAGCGGCUCCCCGCCCAAGCUCCUGGCAGUCGUUGUCAUCCUGAGUGUUUGCUUCUUGUCGACUGAAGCCUUCUUGCAGCUGACAAAUAUCAAAAUGGAGCCAUCAGAGCCAAAGGAAGGAGGAAGUGUCCGCCUCACCCCAAACAACCUCCCUCCCGUCCCACUGAGCUGCCGCUGGUACCGAAGUGAAAUGUCCAAUAAUUGCACCAUCCUGAUUCGUUUCUUCUACCCACGCCCUAUGACUAGGAAGGAGUCAAGCUUCACUGGGCAUGAGACCAUGAGGUCUGACUGCUCCCUUGAGAUCAAAAACUUAAAAGCCAACGACUCUGAAAACUAUAUAGUCCUGAUUCAUGGCCGUGACGGAAUUCGGAUUGGGAGCAUGAAGUUUGCAAUCCCGGGUAGGCUUCUUUAACAUUUUAUACAAUAUGACACUUUAUAACAUUUUGUACAACAUAACGCUUUAU